RNAcentral lists this ribosomal RNA (1443 nucleotides) under uncultured organism. RNAcentral describes it as "16S ribosomal RNA". It matches the Rfam family "Bacterial small subunit ribosomal RNA". The record is from RNAcentral.
AUUGAACGCUGGCGGCAGGCCUAACACAUGCAAGUCGAACGGUAACAGGAAGAAGCUUGCUUCUUUGCUGACGAGUGGCGGACGGGUGAGUAAUGUCUGGGAAACUGCCUGAUGGAGGGGGAUAACUACUGGAAACGGUAGCUAAUACCGCAUAACGUCGCAAGACCAAAGAGGGGGACCUUCGGGCCUCUUGCCAUCGGAUGUGCCCAGAUGGGAUUAGCUAGUAGGUGGGGUAAAGGCUCACCUAGGCGACGAUCCCUAGCUGGUCUGAGAGGAUGACCAGCCACACUGGAACUGAGACACGGUCCAGACUCCUACGGGAGGCAGCAGUGGGGAAUAUUGCACAAUGGGCGCAAGCCUGAUGCAGCCAUGCCGCGUGUAUGAAGAAGGCCUUCGGGUUGUAAAGUACUUUCAGCGGGGAGGAAGGGAGUAAAGUUAAUACCUUUGCUCAUUGACGUUACCCGCAGAAGAAGCACCGGCUAACUCCGUGCCAGCAGCCGCGGUAAUACGGAGGGUGCAAGCGUUAAUCGGAAUUACUGGGCGUAAAGCGCACGCAGGCGGUUUGUUAAGUCAGAUGUGAAAUCCCCGGGCUCAACCUGGGAACUGCAUCUGAUACUGGCAAGCUUGAGUCUCGUAGAGGGGGGUAGAAUUCCAGGUGUAGCGGUGAAAUGCGUAGAGAUCUGGAGGAAUACCGGUGGCGAAGGCGGCCCCCUGGACGAAGACUGACGCUCAGGUGCGAAAGCGUGGGGAACAAACAGGAUUAGAUACCCCUGGUAGUCCACGCCGUAAACGAUGUCGACUUGGAGGUUGUGCCCUUGAGGCGUGGCUUCCGGAGCUAACGCGUUAAGUCGACCGCCUGGGGAGUACGGCCGCAAGGUUAAAACUCAAAUGAAUUGACGGGGGCCCGCACAAGCGGUGGAGCAUGUGGUUUAAUUCGAUGCAACGCGAAGAACCUUACCUGGUCUUGACAUCCACAGAACCUUGUAGAGAUACGAGGGUGCCUUCGGGAACUGUGAGACAGGUGCUGCAUGGCUGUCGUCAGCUCGUGUUGUGAAAUGUUGGGUUAAGUCCCGCAACGAGCGCAACCCUUAUCCUUUGUUGCCAGCGGUCCGGCCGGGAACUCAAAGGAGACUGCCAGUGAUAAACUGGAGGAAGGUGGGGAUGACGUCAAGUCAUCAUGGCCCUUACGACCAGGGCUACACACGUGCUACAAUGGCGCAUACAAAGAGAAGCGACCUCGCGAGAGCAAGCGGACCUCAUAAAGUGCGUCGUAGUCCGGAUUGGAGUCUGCAACUCGACUCCAUGAAGUCGGAAUCGCUAGUAAUCGUGGAUCAGAAUGCCACGGUGAAUACGUUCCCGGGCCUUGUACACACCGCCCGUCACACCAUGGGAGUGGGUUGCAAAAGAAGUAGGUAGCUUAACCUUCGGGAGGGCGCUUACCAC